RNAcentral lists this ribosomal RNA (1340 nucleotides) under Cassava witches'-broom phytoplasma. RNAcentral describes it as "bacterial SSU rRNA". It matches the Rfam family "Bacterial small subunit ribosomal RNA", at positions 105 to 1444 of the family's 1533-position model. The record is from RNAcentral. Lineage: Bacteria; Bacillati; Mycoplasmatota; Mollicutes; Acholeplasmatales; Acholeplasmataceae.
GGUGAGUACACGUAAGCAACCUACCCUAAAGACGAGGAUAACCAUUGGAAACAGUGGCUAAGACUGGAUAGGAAGAUAAAAGGCAUCUUGUAUCUUUUAAAAGACCUAGUUAAUAGGUAUGCUUUAGGAGGGGCUUGCGCCAUAUUAGUUAGUUGGUAGGGUAAUGGCCUACCAAGACGAUGAUGUGUAGCUGGACUGAGAGGUUGAACAGCCACAUUGGGACUGAGACACGGCCCAAACUCCUACGGGAGGCAGCAGUAGGGAAUUUUCGGCAAUGGAGGAAACUCUGACCGAGCAACGCCGCGUGAAUGACGAAGUACUUCGGUAUGUAAAGUUCUUUUAUCGAGGAAGAAAAGCAAAUGGCGAACCAUUUGUUUGCCGGUACUUGAUGAAUAAGCCCCGGCUAAUUAUGUGCCAGCAGCCGCGGUAAGACAUAAGGGGCAAGUGUUAUCCGGAAUUAUUGGGCGUAAAGGGUGCGUAGGCGGUCUAGUAAGUCAGUGGUGUAAUGGCAACGCUUAACGUUGUCCGGCUAUUGAAACUGCUAAACUUGAGUUAGAUAGAGGCGAGUGGAAUUCCAUGUGUAGCGGUAAAAUGCGUAAAUAUAUGGAGGAACACCAGAGGCGUAGGCGGCUCGCUGGGUCUUAACUGACGCUGAGGCACGAAAGCGUGGGGAGCAAACAGGAUUAGAUACCCUGGUAGUCCACGCCGUAAACGAUGAGUACUAAGUGUCGGGUUAAACCGGUACUGAAGUUAACACAUUAAGUACUCCGCCUGAGUAGUACGUACGCAAGUAUGAAACUUAAAGGAAUUGACGGGACUCCGCACAAGCGGUGGAUCAUGUUGUUUAAUUCGAAGAUACCCGAAAAACCUUACCAGGUCUUGACAUGUUUUUGCAAAAUGAUAGUAAUAUCGUGGAGGUUACCAGAAACACAGGUGGUGCAUGGUUGUCGUCAGCUCGUGUCGUGAGAUGUUAGGUUAAGUCCUAAAACGAGCGAAACCCUUAUCGUUAGUUGCCAGCACGUUAUGGUGGGGACUUUAACGAGACUGCCAAUGAUAAAUUGGAGGAAGGUGAGGAUCACGUCAAAUCAGCAUGCCCCUUAUGACCUGGGCUACAAACGUGAUACAAUGGCUGUUACAAAGGGUAGCUGAAACGCAAGUUCUUGGCCAAUCCCCAAAAACAGUCCCAGUCCGGAUUGAAGUCUGCAACUCGACUUCAUGAAGUUGGAAUCGCUAGUAAUCGCGAAUCAGCAUGUCGCGGUGAAUACGUUCUCGGGGUUUGUACACACCGCCCGUCAAACCACGAAAGUUGGCAAUACCCCAAAACGGUAGCCUAACUCGUU